RNAcentral lists this unclassified non-coding RNA (228 nucleotides) under Hevea brasiliensis (rubber tree). Lineage: Eukaryota; Viridiplantae; Streptophyta; Magnoliopsida; Malpighiales; Euphorbiaceae. The record is from RNAcentral.
GAAAAGCUUCACGACUUGAAGCACAGAUGGAAAGCUCAUCAGUAGUUGAAAAGCUCCAUGAGGAACUUGGGGAAUAUGAAAAGAUAGUGAAUUGCAAAAUUUGUGUCAACAGUAGAAAGCAGGUUGUCAUUACAAAGUGCUUCCACUUGUUCUGUAAUCCCUGUGUACAAGAUAUCUUGAAGAGUCAGCAUCGCAAAUGUCCAAGAUGUAGUGCAAGUUUUGGGCCCA